Mytilus trossulus (common blue mussel) is the source of this 494-nucleotide long non-coding RNA. RefSeq lists it as uncharacterized. Lineage: Eukaryota; Metazoa; Mollusca; Bivalvia; Mytilida; Mytilidae. The record is from RefSeq and is a predicted model, not a curated record. The transcript is spliced from 3 exons.
UGCGGAGAAAGUAUUGCAUGAUGAAAUUGACAUUGCAUAAAAUAUAGAAAUCAACGACAACGGAAGCCCGCAAUGAACGGUGUUUUAAUCUUUUGCUGACGACAACUUCCAAAUCUACUUAGGACCAGGAUUUUUUAAGGGAACAAGAAAUCUUCAUAGGGAUACAUAGAUUGAACAUUUUCUAAAUGGAUCCACAGAACUCUGUGUCUCACCUGUAGUUGCUGCUGUUAGUGUAAAAGUGUGAUGUUGACUAUAGUAAUUUCAGCAACAGAAUGAAGAAUUCCAAGAGUCUAAUACGGUUUAUUAAACAGGAUUUUAUCAUUGAAUAAACAUCCUACAAGAAUAUAACAUACAAAUAAGUAAUUAUGUGCAGGGAAGAACAUUUAAACAAAACUGUAAGAGACAUACAGUGGUGUAUUUUUAAAGAGACCGAAAGAACCUGUUAUAACUUGCCAUGAGUGUAUAUUUUCCAAACCAGAAACUCGUUCAUGAUA